RNAcentral lists this long non-coding RNA (265 nucleotides) under Trifolium pratense (red clover). Its description in RNAcentral is "long non-coding RNA (TPRA_LNC006458)". Lineage: Eukaryota; Viridiplantae; Streptophyta; Magnoliopsida; Fabales; Fabaceae. The record is from RNAcentral.
CCAACCAAACCUAGAUAUAACCAAUCUAAAUGUAUUUCUAAAACAAAGAGUCUUACAUUACAAGUCUAAUAAUAUACUUAUCAAGGCUUAAAUUUCCGCCAACAAAAUUAUCUAUAGCCUAGAAGCUACUUAUGAAUUUACAAGGUAGAAUUUGUUAAUCAUAACAAGGCCUUGAUUGUGAGAAUGCCCGGGUUCAUAACCGCGAUCUCAACUUUAUAAAAUAUCCCUUGCCUCAAUUACAUAUUAACUCAAAACCUUCCUAAAC